Paramuricea clavata is the source of this 81-nucleotide non-coding RNA. The record is from the annotation of a GenBank genome assembly. NCBI's taxonomy places the organism in Eukaryota, Metazoa, Cnidaria, Anthozoa, Malacalcyonacea, Plexauridae.
UUUCGUCCGUAAGUCCGGAUCUUCAUCAGUGCUAAUAAUAUGUAUUAGCACUGAUGAAGGUCCGGGCUUGCAGAUCGAAAG